GAUGAACGCUGGCGGCGUGCCUAAUACAUGCAAGUAGAACGCUGAAGCUUGGUGCUUGCACCGAGCGGAUGAGUUGCAAACGGGUGAGUAACGCGUAGGUAACCUGCCUCUUAGCGGGGGAUAACUAUUGGAAACGAUAGCUAAUACCGCAUAAAAGUUGACAUUGCAUGAUGUUGAUUUGAAAGAUGCAAUUGCAUCACUAAGAGAUGGACCUGCGUUGUAUUAGCUAGUUGGUGAAGUAACGGCUCACCAAGGCGACGAUACAUAGCCGACCUGAGAGGGUGAUCGGCCACACUGGGACUGAGACACGGCCCAGACUCCUACGGGAGGCAGCAGUAGGGAAUCUUCGGCAAUGGACGGAAGUCUGACCGAGCAACGCCGCGUGAGUGAAGAAGGUUUUCGGAUCGUAAAGCUCGGUUGUAAGAGAAGAACGAGUGUGAGAGUGGAAAGUUCACACUGUGACGGUAACUUACCAGAAAGGGACGGCUAACUACGUG
RNAcentral lists this ribosomal RNA (497 nucleotides) under uncultured bacterium. RNAcentral's name for it is "partial 16S ribosomal RNA". It matches the Rfam family "Bacterial small subunit ribosomal RNA", at positions 28 to 507 of the family's 1533-position model. The record is from RNAcentral.